Non-coding RNA from Eucalyptus grandis, 119 nucleotides. The record is from Rfam. NCBI's taxonomy places the organism in Eukaryota, Viridiplantae, Streptophyta, Magnoliopsida, Myrtales, Myrtaceae.
GGGCGCGAUCAUACCAGCACUAAUGCAUCGGAUCCCAUCAAAACUCCGAAGUUCAGCGUGCUUGGGCAAGAGUAGUACUAGGAUGGGUGACUUUCUAGGAAGGCCUCGUGUUGCACCCC